GGGGGCGAAAGGUCUCGACAGGGGUCAUGUUCUUCGUGCGGAUGCAUGCCGGGCUUCUCUACGCAGCUCGUUAAAAAGCAUAGGGAAACACAAUUGCCAAUAAUCAAGAAUUGGCCCUCGCAGCCUAACCACGGUUAGCGAGCGUCUCGCCGCAAGUUGCUCAUGCGCGCGGAGCGAGAUGUCACUCAGAUGAGCUGGCCUGCUCUUUGUGCUCAGGGAGAGCGGGCGAGACAAAACUGGGCUAGUCGCAGCCGGGGUCUUCGACGCUUCACUGACCCGGUCGCGGCGAACGCGCCCGCGAAAGGCGGGCAGCAGAGAAGCGUCUAAGCAUGUAGAUUCCGGCGGUGACGGCUCUUGGACCCGAGUUCGAUUCUCGGCGCCUCCAUUA
Molecule: transfer-messenger RNA, 388 nt
Filed under: Pyrinomonadaceae
Lineage: Bacteria; Pseudomonadati; Acidobacteriota; Blastocatellia; Blastocatellales
Also listed under: 1 other name
Description: JACDEG01 sp013816505 Standard tmRNA
Rfam family: transfer-messenger RNA
About the family: Bacterial tmRNA, also known as 10Sa RNA or SsrA, is named for its dual tRNA and mRNA-like properties.
Source: RNAcentral